RNAcentral lists this ribosomal RNA (254 nucleotides) under uncultured bacterium. RNAcentral's name for it is "partial 16S ribosomal RNA". It matches the Rfam family "Bacterial small subunit ribosomal RNA", at positions 524 to 776 of the family's 1533-position model. The record is from RNAcentral.
UACGGGGGGAGCAAGCGUUGUUCGGAUUUACUGGACGUAAAGGGCGCGUAGGCGGUCAGCACAAGUCAGUUGUGAAAUCUCCGGGCUUAACUCGGAAAGGUCAACUGAUACUGUGCGACUAGAGUGCAGAAGGGGCAACUGGAAUUCUCGGUGUAGCGGUGAAAUGCGUAGAUAUCGAGAGGAACACCUGCGGCGAAGGCGGGUUGCUGGGCUGACACUGACGCUGAUGCGCGAAAGCCAGGGGAGCGAACGGG